AUCUGUGUAGUGGCUACAGCACCUGUGUUUCAGCCUGCAGAAUGGGCUCAGAUAGUUUAUGAUUCUGAAGAAGAAUUAGAGGUGAGACUUGAGAAAAUAUAGAAAAAGAUAUGCAGGAUGAGAAGUUUUCUUUACCAUCCAUCACUUUCUUGAUGGGUUAUUAUUCUCUCUGCCUUCUGUGAAACAAACUGGAUACUAAUGGCACAAUUACACUUAGAGCUAGUCACUUGUGUAGUUUACACACAUAGUUCUGCUACCAAUGUUUAGUAAUGAGUUAAACAUUUUGCCAUAUUUGUCCCUGAAGCUAUAAUUUAAUAAAUCAUUAUAUACAUAGCAAUAAUAAUAAGUAAAACAAAAAGAAGGAUAAUUCUUUUGUUUUAUGGUAAUUAUGUUGGGUCCUUUGGAUCCUCCCAAAAAAGUUGACUUCCCUAAAAUAAUUACACUUGAAUUAGGUAUAGAGAUGCUAAUUGUAAAAAAUUGAAAGUUACUGUAAAUCUUCUAAUCAUAGUUCUUUGCAAGUGUACUUAAGUUAUUGCUCCACUUGAAAUAAAUGAAAACUGGAAAUCUGAGGUGAUAAAUUAUGGGUCCCUUUUAAGUAAGAAAGAUGACAAGGAAAUCUAAUCAGCUGACUCAUAUUAAAAUAAAGUACCUUGGCCCGAGAUCAAAGAUAGGUGAAAAAAUUAACAUUUAUAUUUUUUAAGUGAGAUAAAAUGUACAAGUUUUUAUGUAUUUAUUUUAUGACUUCCUGAUAUAACACAAAGUAUUGAUAAAAGCACCCAAUACUGGUUCUAAUGACAUCCAAUUAGCAUUAAUGUGUUCCUAUUAUU
Callithrix jacchus (white-tufted-ear marmoset) is the source of this 827-nucleotide long non-coding RNA. RefSeq lists it as uncharacterized. Lineage: Eukaryota; Metazoa; Chordata; Mammalia; Primates; Cebidae. The record is from RefSeq and is a predicted model, not a curated record.